RNAcentral lists this ribosomal RNA (813 nucleotides) under Triticum aestivum (bread wheat). RNAcentral's name for it is "partial small subunit ribosomal RNA". The record is from RNAcentral. Lineage: Eukaryota; Viridiplantae; Streptophyta; Magnoliopsida; Poales; Poaceae.
AUGCAUUUCACAGGGGCAACCAUGGUAUGGCUAGAGAACAAUGAGUUCGACUUGCGCCAUAUGGAGUGGGAAUUUUUUUGCUCUGUGGUCUAUGGACAGUUCGAGAGGAACGAGUUCAGUGGCCUGUCGCGUCAGUUAUUUCAUUUGCGGCAGACAGACUCAGUGUCAGACUAUACUGCUAGAUUCACCGAGAUUAUGCAUUCCUUGCUUGCAUAUAGCACUACCUGGGAUCAUGCUCUGUUCCCAUCUCGUUAUGUCGAUGGGCUUAGAGAUGAGAUUCGUGUUGUUGUUUUAGUGCAUAAUCCAAAAGACCUCGACACUGCUGUUUCUCUCGCUUUCUUACAGGAAGAGGCACUGGAGAUUUCCAAGCGGCGCGAGCCUCGGCGCUGGGAAGGGGGCUCAGGUGGUGGGCAGAGCAUCCGCUCCCGUCUCCGGGGGGCCAUGCCCCUUCCUGCACCUCCUGGGCGACCACCUCCCGCGGCAACAACAGCCACGGACGACCGCCGCGGGGCAACGACAGACAGUUCCCGGAGCGAAAACACGGUCGAAGAUCGCCUCUCCGCGCUCAAGGCCUAUCGUCGGGCCAAGUGGCUAUGUUAUCUCUGUGGAGAGAAGUGGGGCAGAGAGCACAAAUGCGCAACAACAGUUCAACUCCAUGUUGUCCAAGAGAUGUUCGAUGUGCUGGGUUUCUCAGGCCUACCAACCAGCGAAGAGCGAUCAGACUCAGAAAGUGAGUGCCACACCAUCUCAAGAGCUGCGACGCAAGGUACAGUAGCCCCGCAAACCAUCAGAUUGCAGGGGAAGAUUCAAUAG